This 807-nucleotide ribosomal RNA is filed under the name uncultured archaeon. RNAcentral describes it as "bacterial SSU rRNA". It matches the Rfam family "Archaeal small subunit ribosomal RNA", at positions 69 to 881 of the family's 1478-position model. The record is from RNAcentral.
UCGGCGCGAUCGCCUUACGGCUCAGUAACACGUGGACAACCUAACCUAUGGGAGGGGGAUAACCCCGGGAAACUGGGGAUAAUACCCCAUAGACUAUGGAUGCUGGAAUGCUCUGUAGUUGAAAGGUCAGCCGCCAUAGGAUGGGUCUGCGGCCGAUUAGGUUGUUGUUGGGGUAACGGCCCAACAAGCCUGUAAUCGGUACGGGUUGUGGGAGCAAGAGCCCGGAGAUGGAUUCUGAGACACGAAUCCAGGCCCUACGGGGCGCAGCAGGCGCGAAAACUUUACAAUGCGGGAAACCGUGAUAAGGGAACUCCGAGUGCCCGUAAAAUCGGGCUGUCCAUCUGUUUAAAUAACAGGUGAAGAAAGGGCCGGGCAAGACCGGUGCCAGCCGCCGCGGUAAUACCGGCGGCUCGAGUGGUGGCCACUAUUACUGGGCUUAAAGCGUUCGUAGCUGGUUUGUUAAGUCUCUGGGGAAAUCUGCCGGCUCAACCGGCAGGCGUUCCAGGGAUACUGGCAGACUAGGGACCGGGAGAGGUGAGGGGUACUCCAGGGGUAGGAGUGAAAUCCUGUAAUCCUUGGGGGACCACCUGUGGCGAAGGCGCCUCACCAGAACGGCUCCGACAGUGAGGGACGAAAGCUGGGGGAGCAAACCGGAUUAGAUACCCGGGUAGUCCCAGCCGUAAACGAUGCGCGUUAGGUGUAUCGGUGACCACGAGUCACCGAGGUGCCGAAGAGAAAUCGUGAAACGUGCCGCCUGGAAGUACGGUCGCAAGGCUGAAACUUAAAGGAAUUGGCGGGGGAGCACAA